AUUAUUAUUAUAUGUGUGGCAAGAAACAUCAAUAUCUGAAUCUAAGGAAAAAGAACAAGACUGAGAGAAAAAUACAAGACAACCUGUUCCAAAUGUGGGCUUAAUUUUAUUUAAAGCAGAUAAUCACAUCUCCAAAGAGUGAAAACAGUAAUCUAAAUGCUCACUGACCGGAUUCACAAGAGCUCUGCAUAAGUACACAAUGCAAUACGGGACCCAGAGCCUAGCAGAAACCAAUUUUUUGCUUCUUGAGAACAAAUUCAGCCAAAAUAUCAGAAGACAGAACACAAUCAGUUCAGCAUAAUGAUAAAAUUAAUGAAUUAUGACUCUCUCAAAAUACAGAACCUGUGGGGCUUUGCUGGACAGCUCAGUUGUUUAAAGCACGGCUUGAGUAAAUGCAGGCAGGUGCCUACGACCGUGGUUCAAUUCUCAGCUUCAGUAGCUGUACCAGACCUGCCGUUAAGGCAGCCUGAAGUAGCCAAAAAAAAACACCCUUCUCAAAAUACAGAACCUGUAACCCCAGCUACUCAGGAGGCAGGGAGAGAAGAGGAGGCUGAGGCAGGAGCACAGUGAGUUUGAGGCUAACUUGGAUAACACAGUGAAAUCCUAUCUCAAUAAAGGGACAAGCAGAAAACACUAGGCAUAUACUCAGAUUUUAAAAGAAAGGAUGAGGUUAUUUCAGAACAAACCCAAUAGGGACCACUCUGGCACUAGAGACCAGACCCUCAACUCUCACAUAGGCAUGUGGCCUUUAUAGGGUUAUGAGCAUGGGGGGGGGCAGUGGAAUGAAAAAGUCACAAAGGGCUUUUGAAGGGGAGAAUUGAGUACAGAGGGGUUAUGGCUUAUCUGCCUGGGACAGGGCCUGAGAAUGUGCAAGGAGCUGUGAUUUGUCUGUCAACAAUGGGGCUGCACAAUGACUGGGAAUUAUGAUCAUGGUUGUGGUCACUGGGCCCCAGUUGCUUGUCAGGUUAAGGACUGAAUAAAGAUGGGAGUUCUGGAUUGUAGCUAUGCUCAUUGGGCCUUGCCACCUCACCGUUGGAGGAGGAAACUACUACAUUGCAAGCUAUAGUAACUUUAUAAUGUUAGACAACACAACGGGAAACAAACUUUGUCUGUUAAAGCUAAAAGCAGAAUACACUGAAGAUUGCAAUGUAUCCAGAGAGGAAGUGUAUGGAGAAACACGUAGCAGCUCGGCAGGACACCUGUGCUCCACAGGGCUGGUUCCAAAGAUUAAGGAGGGGCAAGACCCAAGUUACGAACCUGAUCAGAGUUUAGCUUCCAAGUGCUCUGGAAUAAGAAACUCAGUUUUCCAAAGAGUGAUGAGAACUUCAGAAGUAGUUUUCUAAUUCCUAUUUCUGCCAAAGAUUUAUGAAAUCUAUAUUCCUCUAUUAAACCACUAGCUAUAUGCCAAGCUUUAUAUUAAAAAUAAUAGUCUUAUUCCAUUUAUUACCAAAGACUGCUCAAUCUUGACUCCUGCUCACUUUUCUUCCAGGGGGUGGGGAGGGGAGGUUUAUAAUUUCCUGCAACCAAACUCCUUGCCAACAAAUAAGGGUUAAAAUGCAAACAUAAAAAAGCGAAGGUUUUGCCCCAGAGAUGAAAAGAGGAUCCAAGGGCUGAGGGUGUAGCUUCUGUGGGUCUGGGAAUAGUAGUGUCCAUCAAUAGCCAAUAGUGAAACUGAAAGACAUAGAUUAUUUCAGAUUCUCUCAGACCCAGCUAUGAAUGAGACAUGACACUUCCAGCACAGAGUGACAUAGUUCUUGGAGCUUUUAUCUUCCAU
Molecule: long non-coding RNA, 1774 nt
Organism: Octodon degus (degu)
Lineage: Eukaryota; Metazoa; Chordata; Mammalia; Rodentia; Octodontidae
Exons: 2
Source: RefSeq, a predicted model, not a curated record